AAUAUGUGAGAUACUUGCAAUUAUCUUCGGUUGCAAUGGAGGGAGUCUUGCUUCCUGUGUGUCCUUCCCCUUCUUCUUCCUCUGCAGCUCCUAAACCCAGAAUCCCCAUUCCUCAACGCUCUUCUUUCCCUUCUUCACUACCAACCCAUCUCUCCCUCCCCCAAAACGCAGCGUUUUCCCUUCGCACCUCUCUCCGCACUUCCACCUUCGCACCUCUCUCCGCACUUCCACCUUCGCACUCGCGCCACACGAAACUCCCGUUCUGGACAAACCCGACAACAACAGUUCUUCUCCCUCUCUGCCCAAAAUCGACAAGACCGGCCGCUUCUGCAGCCCCCGCGCCGCCAGAGAACUCGCUCUGUCGAUAAUCUAUGCAGCGUGCUUGGAGGGGAUGGACCCGGUUCGGCUCUUCGAGAAACGGAUGAAUGCCCGACGAGAAGCUGGGUAUAAAUUUAAUGAGGAAAAGUUGUUGGAGUAUAAUCAUAUGAGUUUUGGAGGGUCGCCUGUUACUGUUGGAUCGGAUGAAGAAGCAAAUGAGCUUCUGCGGCACAUUGAAGAAGAGUCUGCCAUUGAAGCAGAAGUCCUCACAGCUCCUCCAAAGCUGGUAUACAACACACUGAUUUUGAGAUUCACCAAGAAACUAUUGGUUGCAGUCAGGGAUACAUGGGACAGUCAUGUCCUGGUCAUUAACAAAAUCGUCCCACAAAAUUGGAAGAAUGAACCAGCUGGGAAGAUUUUAGAGCUGUCUAUUCUUCACUUGGCCAUGUCGGAAAUGGAAGUGCUAGAAACUAGACACCAAAUCGUCAUUAAUGAGGCAGUAGAUCUUGCUAAACGGUUUUGUGAUGGAGCAGCCCCUCGCAUCAUUAAUGGCUGUCUCCGCACAUUUUUCCGAGAACUGGAGCUUGAAGCAUCGAAUAACCGGGUUUAGUUGAGCUCCAUGUACAUUGUCAGAUUGUCUACACGUUGUAGUCCUCGGGUCGUUGAAAAGGUUGACAUGCAUUUCAGGAAAUAUCACCAAUGGUGGUUUGAUAAUUUGCAUAUUGACCUGCAGGCAAGGCCUGAGUUAGGAAUCGUGUUGUUUGAAACUGGUAGAUAGUUAUCAUGCCAUUUUGUUUUUACAGCAGUUAUGACAUUGCAAUAUUGUAAUCGUGUAUAUGUAUGUUAUAUUUUAUGUAUUUUACCUCGUGGGAUUUGUAAUAAAUUUUGUUUAAGUUAAAGAACUUUUGAAAUAUAAUUUAAUUAAGUACUUUUGAAACAUGGUACAA
This is an RNA transcript of Glycine soja, 1265 nucleotides long. RefSeq lists it as uncharacterized. Lineage: Eukaryota; Viridiplantae; Streptophyta; Magnoliopsida; Fabales; Fabaceae. The record is from RefSeq and is a predicted model, not a curated record. The transcript is spliced from 7 exons.